Molecule: ribosomal RNA, 253 nt
Filed under: uncultured bacterium
Lineage: Bacteria
Description: partial 16S ribosomal RNA
Rfam family: Bacterial small subunit ribosomal RNA
Source: RNAcentral
UACAGAGGUCCCAAGCGUUGUUCGGAUUUACUGGGCGUAAAGGGUGCGUAGGUGGUCGGGUAAGUCUCAUGUGAAAUCCCGCAGCUUAACUGCGGAACGGCAUGGGAUACUAUUCGGCUCGAGGAUCGGAGGGGGGACUGGAAUUCCCGGUGUAGCAGUGAAAUGCGUAGAUAUCGGGAGGAACACCAGUGGCGAAGGCGAGUCCCUGGACAAUUCCUGACGCUGAGGCACGAAAGCCAGGGGAGCAAACAGG